Molecule: ribosomal RNA, 484 nt
Filed under: uncultured bacterium
Lineage: Bacteria
Description: partial 16S ribosomal RNA
Rfam family: Bacterial small subunit ribosomal RNA
Source: RNAcentral
AUUGAACGCUGGCGGCAGGCCUAACACAUGCAAGUCGAGCGGAUGAAGGGAGCUUGCUCCUGGAUUCAGCGGCGGACGGGUGAGUAAUGCCUAGGAAUCUGCCUGGUGGUGGGGGAUAACGUCCGGAAACGGGCGCUAAUACCGCAUACGUCCUGAGGGAGAAAGUGGGGGAUCUUCGGACCUCACGCUAUCAGAUGAGCCUAGGUCGGAUUAGCUAGUUGGUGGGGUAAAGGCCUACCAAGGCGACGAUCCGUAACUGGUCUGAGAGGAUGAUCAGUCACACUGGAACUGAGACACGGUCCAGACUCCUACGGGAGGCAGCAGUGGGGAAUAUUGGACCAUGGGCGAAAGCCUGAUCCAGCCAUGCCGCGUGUGUGAAGAAGGUCUUCGGAUUGUAAAGCACUUUAAGUUGGGAGGAAGGGCAGUAAGUUAAUACCUUGCUGUUUUGACGUUACCAACAGAAUAAGCACCGGCUAACUUCGUG